This 496-nucleotide ribosomal RNA is filed under the name uncultured bacterium. RNAcentral's name for it is "partial 16S ribosomal RNA". It matches the Rfam family "Bacterial small subunit ribosomal RNA", at positions 28 to 507 of the family's 1533-position model. The record is from RNAcentral.
GACGAACGCUGGCGGCGUGCCUAAUACAUGCAAGUCGAGCGAACCAAUGGGAGCUUGCUCCCUGAGGUUAGCGGCGGACGGGUGAGUAACACGUGGGUAACCUGCCUGUAAGAUUGGGAUAACUCCGGGAAACCGGAGCUAAUACCGGAUAAUAUUUUGAACCGCAUGGUUCAAAAUUGAAAGACGGCUUCGGCUGUCACUUACAGAUGGACCCGCGGCGCAUUAGCUAGUUGGUGAGGUAACGGCUCACCAAGGCGACGAUGCGUAGCCGACCUGAGAGGGUGAUCGGCCACACUGGGACUGGGACACGGCCCAGACUCCUACGGGAGGCAGCAGUAGGGAAUCUUCCGCAAUGGACGAAAGUCUGACGGAGCAACGCCGCGUGAACGAUGAAGGCCUUCGGGUCGUAAAGUUCUGUUGUUAGGGAAGAACAAGUACCAGAGUAACUGCUGGUACCUUGACGGUACCUAACCAGAAAGCCACGGCUAACUACGUG